RNAcentral lists this long non-coding RNA (770 nucleotides) under Lactuca sativa (garden lettuce). RNAcentral describes it as "long non-coding RNA (LSAT_LNC004696)". Lineage: Eukaryota; Viridiplantae; Streptophyta; Magnoliopsida; Asterales; Asteraceae. The record is from RNAcentral.
UUUAAAGCCCAAAUUGUUAUGUAUAGAGAAAAAUUAUUAUAUACGAAUCAACUACCAUUAUGAAUGGUCUUAUACAAUUUGUCAAGCCUCCAUAUGACUUCCUUCUAUUAAUUGUCAAAUCAUUUUUAUGCCAUUUGUAACAUAUAAUCUUUAGUUUACCUAUGUGUAUAAAAUUUGGGACUCACUUAAAUUGUUCUUGAGCUUCCGCACAACUUUAUCAUGAUCGACCUCAAUUUUGGAAAAACAUAUAUAACAAAUUAGGUUCAGUUUCUUUCUCGAUUUCUCUAAAGGCCCAAAAUAUUUAUGUCGGUUCUUUAGAAAUUAAUCUCUAUUAGCACAAACUUCUCAAAAAUCAAGUAGUUGUGCAUAUAGGGAGAGUAUAAAUGUAAUGGUUACAUACAAUGCUUUACACAAAAAUACAAUGCUUUACACAACAAUACUAGCAUCACAAAGCUAACAAUAAAAGAAGAUCUUGGCAUUCCAAUUUUGUUGUACACAAGUCGAAAUCGAAACAAUGUAAAGACAUAAGUUAGAAUAUCUCUUAAUCGAAAUCGAAACAAUGUAAAGACAUAAGUUAGAAUAUCUCUUAAUCGAAAUCGAAACAAUGUAAAGACAUAAGUUAGAAUAUCUCUUAAUCGAAAUCGAAACAAUGUAAAGACAUAAGUUAGAAUAUCUCUUAAUCGUAAGACUUAUAAACAUCCUAUAACAUGGAAUACUAACUUUUGUUGUCGAGUCAAGGUCCAAAUCUCAUUCUAACUUUCAAAGCAUCU